This 67-nucleotide transfer RNA is filed under the name bovine gut metagenome. It matches the Rfam family "tRNA". From Rfam's summary of the family: Transfer RNA (tRNA) molecules are approximately 80 nucleotides in length. Their secondary structure includes four short double-helical elements and three loops (D, anti-codon, and T loops). Further hydrogen bonds mediate the characteristic L-shaped molecular structure. tRNAs have two regions of fundamental functional importance: the anti-codon, which is responsible for specific mRNA codon recognition, and the 3' end, to which the tRNAs corresponding amino acid is attached (by aminoacyl-tRNA synthetases). tRNAs cope with the degeneracy of the genetic code in two manners: having more than one tRNA (with a specific anti-codon) for a particular amino acid; and 'wobble' base-pairing, i.e. permitting non-standard base-pairing at the 3rd anti-codon position. The record is from RNAcentral.
CGGGUAUAGUUUAACGGCAGAACAAUAGCCUUCCAAGUUAUUAGUGUGGGUUCAAUUCUCAUUACCC